Molecule: long non-coding RNA, 201 nt
Filed under: Lathyrus oleraceus (garden pea)
Lineage: Eukaryota; Viridiplantae; Streptophyta; Magnoliopsida; Fabales; Fabaceae
Description: Pisum sativum (pea) long non-coding RNA (PSAT_LNC011490)
Source: RNAcentral
AAAAAGUCAACCUUAAAAAUAGCAUCCAUUGUUUGAAACCCCCUUGAACUCAUUUAUCUCAUUCUUUGUUUGAAACUCACUACAAGCCUAAAAGUGAAAAAUAAUGUUAUUACCCUAUUUAAAGGGCUGAAAGAGUAUUGUUUGGAGUUGUGUGUUGAAUUGAUAUAGCUAUGAUAUUUCAAAAGUUGGUAGAAAAGAAAG